Molecule: ribosomal RNA, 468 nt
Filed under: uncultured bacterium
Lineage: Bacteria
Description: partial 16S ribosomal RNA
Rfam family: Bacterial small subunit ribosomal RNA
Source: RNAcentral
GACGAACGCUGGCGGCGUGCUUAACACAUGCAAGUCGAACGGAAAGGCCCUGCUUGUGUGGGGUGCUCGAGUGGCGAACGGGUGAGUAACACGUGAGUAACCUGCCCUUGACUUUGGGAUAACGUCAGGAAACUGGGGCUAAUACCGGAUAGGAGCUCCUGCUGCAUGGUGGGGGUUGGAAAGUUUCGGCGGUUGGGGAUGGACUCGCGGCUUAUCAGCUUGUUGGUGGGGUAGUGGCUUACCAAGGCUUUGACGGGUAGCCGGCCUGAGAGGGUGACCGGCCACAUUGGGACUGAGAUACGGACCAGACUCCUACGGGAGGCAGCAGUGGGGAAUAUUGCACAAUGGGCGGAAGCCUGGUGCAGCAACGCCGCGUGCGGGAUGACGGCCUUCGGGUUGUAAACCGCUUUCGCCUGUGACGAAGCGUGAGUGACGGUAACGGGUAAAGAAGCACCGGCUAACUACGUG